UUGAAUCUAAAAUUUUAGAGAUAGUAUAUCAGAAUGAUGGAAAUGGUAGAUACUUAGUUUAUCUCUCCACUAAUCCAAAGAGUAACAUCUUUAAAUAUUUGGUUAGAGCGAAUAUCAAACUCAUACUAUAAAUUGCAAUGUAAGAUAUGCAGUAUUUAACGAUUAAUAUUUGUGCACGGGUUCCUGAAGAUCUAAAAAAUGAAUUAAAUGAAAUAAUUCAAUAUAAAAAUAUUUCAACAUUAAUAUUAAUAAUA
This 254-nucleotide long non-coding RNA is filed under the name Lathyrus oleraceus (garden pea). RNAcentral describes it as "Pisum sativum (pea) long non-coding RNA (PSAT_LNC039834)". The record is from RNAcentral. Lineage: Eukaryota; Viridiplantae; Streptophyta; Magnoliopsida; Fabales; Fabaceae.